CCUUCUCAUAAUGAUCAUUUCAGGUACAUGAUUGUCAUCUUCAAAUGUGGAGAGCAUAAUCUUUGAAUCUUGACUGCAUUAGCUACAUACCUUCUUCACCUUAGAAAUAUACCAGCAACAACAAAAGCUUUUCAAUAAUGAAUAUCACUCCAACUUCCUCCAUCAUGUCUUUGCUUUUCAAUAACAUGAAGC
This is a non-coding RNA of Arachis ipaensis, 192 nucleotides long. NCBI's taxonomy places the organism in Eukaryota, Viridiplantae, Streptophyta, Magnoliopsida, Fabales, Fabaceae. The record is from RefSeq and is a predicted model, not a curated record.